GGCCGGGGCGAGGGGCUGGGCUUGGAGGACGGCGAAGGUUUGGGCGAGGGGCUGGGCUGGGGAGAAGGUGAAGGCUUGGGCGAGGGGCUGCGGUCAUCAUCAUCGUCGUUGCCAUCAUCAUCGUCGUCGUCGUCAUCAUUGUCAGGUGAAGGGCUAGGCCGGGGCGAGGGGCUGGGCUUGGGGGACGGCGAGGGUUUGGGCGAGGGGCUGGGCUGGGGAGAAGGUGAAGGCUUGGGCGAGGGGCUGCGGUCAUCAUCAUCGUCGUUGCCAUCAUCAUCGUCGUCGUCGUCAUCAUUGUCAGGUGAAGGGCUAGGCCGGGGCGAGGGGCUGGGCUUGGGGGACGGCGAGGGUUUGGGCGAGGGGCUGGGCUGGGGAGAAGGUGAAGGCUUGGGCGAGGGGCUGCGGUCAUCAUCAUCGUCGUUGCCAUCAUCAUCGUCGUCGUCGUCAUCAUUGUCAGGUGAAGGGCUAGGCCGGGGCGAGGGGCUGGGCUUGGGGGACGGCGAGGGUUUGGGCGAGGGGCUGGGCUGGGGAGAAGGUGAAGGCUUGGGCGAGGGGCUGCGGUCAUCAUCAUCGUCGUUGCCAUCAUCAUCGUCGUCGUCGUCAUCAUUGUCAGGUGAAGGGCUAGGCCGGGGCGAGGGGCUGGGCUUGGGGGACGGCGAGGGUUUUGGCGAGGGGCUGGGCUGGGGAGAAGGUGAAGGCUUGGGCGAGGGGCUGCGGUCAUCAUCAUCGUCGUCGCCAUCAUCAUCAUCAUCAUCAUCGUCAUCAUCAUCAUCGUUGUCAGGUGAAGGGCUAGGCCGGGGCGACGGGCUGGGCUUGGGGGACGGCGAAGGUUUGGGCGAGGGGCUGGGCUGGGGAGAAGGUGAAGGCUUGGGCGAGGGGCUGCGGUCAUCAUCAUCGUCGUCGCCAUCAUCAUCAUCAUCGUCAUCAUCAUCAUCGUUGUCAG
This 943-nucleotide long non-coding RNA is filed under the name Chlamydomonas reinhardtii. RNAcentral's name for it is "long non-coding RNA (CREI_LNC000115)". Lineage: Eukaryota; Viridiplantae; Chlorophyta; Chlorophyceae; Chlamydomonadales; Chlamydomonadaceae. The record is from RNAcentral.